GAUCAAUCCAUCUCUCUGUCAUUUGGCAGAUGUGGUAUAUAUCUGAAGUUACAGCUGGCAGUCUGUAAUUAACCGACAGUUCUUAGGAACCGAUACACUUUAUUCAGUAUAAAGGAGAAAUCACACCAUAAGCAUGCAUAAAUAUAAUGCAUAUGCCUGUGUGCAUGCACGAGAUAUGUGUGCCUACACACAAAUACUUUUUUUCCACCAGCGGCCUACGAUUUGCUUGGGAAAAUGUGUGAAGCAUCUGGUGGCAGCAGAGGGGCAGUCUGACACAAUGGCACCUGACAUGGAACUGCAUAUGAAGCAAAGAUGUGAAAUUUAAUUCCUCCCUGCAGAAAAGGCGACAGACGGUGACAUUCACUGAUGCUUGCUGAACAUCUGUGGAGACCUAACAGUGGAAGUGAGCACCAUGAGGUGAUGAGUGGUGUGUUUCAGCAGUGGUGACAGCAACAGUGAAUUACCUCAGCUGAUGCAUGGAUUUACCAUGGGCCUAAUCAACAUGAUAGCCUCCUGUGUGGUGUAACAUUAAUCUGUGCCCUUGGGAAAAAGCUGGAGCUCUCUUCUCAGCAUGUGGCAGUGGACCAACCUGUGACAUGGGGUGACAGUGAUACCCGUGCCUUGCUGGCAGCCCCAUUUCUAUUGGUGUCAUCACCCAGCCAUUCUCAGGCAGUCAUCGGCUAUGUCUGAUGCUUCCCUAUCCCUGGCAUGCUCUGAAGACAGUUAAAAUACAAUCCAGCCCCAGGCCCUGUGGUGCUGGAGUUGAUGUUCUGCCAAGCAGAGGACCACUGACUGUGCCAGACAGAGAGGGUGGUUGUCCUUGGCAGCAGAACUACAAAGCAGAUGUUGAGAUGUGCUGCAUACUUUGCUCAACUCAGAUCAGUAGAAGAGCUCAGAGGGUUGUCAUCAGUGACACAGAGUCUGAUUAGAAGCCUGGAACUAGUGGUGUUCCCCAGGAGCUGGUGCUGGAUCUGAUCUUGUUCAACAACAUUGUUAACAACCUGGAUGAAGAGAUAGUCUCCAUCCUCAGCAAGUUUGCUGAUGAUACAAAGCUGGGAGGACAUCCAGACACACUGGAAGGCUGUGUUACCAUUCAACAAGACCUGGACAGGCUGGAGAGUUGGGAAGAGAGGAAAGGUUCAACAAAAGCAAGUAUAGAGUCUUACAUCUGGGGAGGACUAACUGCAUGCAUCAGUACAGGCACAAGUGCUUUUGAGCAUGGAGAAUGAAUGAAGAAAUGAGAAGAAUCUUCAAUUCUCUGUUUGGUGAUCACAGAUAAGGUCCAGGUGGAAAAUAUCUCCUCUGCUCAAGAAUAUAAUCCAGCAAGUUACCAGGCCAAAUGGCUCUCUGAACACGAGCCCACAAAGCGCUGAAUGAGGAAGUGCACUGCUCCAGGAGAUUUCAGCACAGCCAGCCAGAAGGUGGCUUUAGCAGUGGUGCUAGAAACAAAAAAAUGGCUUGAAACGCGUAUUAGAAUUCAGUAAAGAGAAACUACGGGGAAGAAAGAAGUACAAGCCAACUGCAGAGCAGGAAAACUGUUGAACAUUCUCCAAUUUCUUUUGACACUUCACAGUGACAGAAACCCCUGUGCUAAAUAUGUUGGUGCUGAGCUGCUGUGAAAAUUUACUGUUCAAUAGCUUCCAGAGUUUCUCAUCUCUUACCUACAGUGAGCAAGCAUAGUGUCUGACCAUUGGGCUUCCUUGCUGAGUAUGGCUGUCUACUGAGUAGCUCAAAGACUUUUAAAGGAUUUUGUGAACUAUGUUUCCAAGGUGCCCUCUACUUUUAAUCUCCUUAUGACUGGAAAUUGUUGGUCCAUGGCGCUAUUGGUGAGAAGCAAAGCUACUGAACUUUGUGAAUCAGCAAAUGAAUGAAAAAUCACUGGGACUAACAAUGCCUGUUGGAUCUUAAAAGAAAAUAACACUUCAUAACGUGCUUCAUUUUGACAAACACAAUUUCAUUGUAAUUUGAAGUAGCAACACUUGGCAAUAUAUUGAAUCUUCGUUUUUCUUAGGUCACGUGCUGGCUGGCUGGCAGCUGGGUCCAAGGAUUGAAGGUAAAAGACACAGAGGUGGAAAUGAAACACAAGGUCAUUUAAUUUACAAUCCUUCAUUUUGCUCAGCAACUUUUUGACUAGUAUCAUUUUAACACUAUUGAUGAUCUCAACUGAUUAUUUCCUGUAGAGAGUGUUCACAGCCUAAUAUUAAUUGCACAACACUGUAAAAUUUCCAAAAAAUUUGAAGGGGUUAAAACAAAAUGGUACUGCAGCUUUCUGCUAUUAGAUAUCUGCUAAUGGGAGCACAUGAUGAAGGUUAGAGUAAAUUAAUUGCUUGAUUAUACAACCCUUGGAUCUUGCGUUCAUAGGCUAAGUAACAAAUCAGUGUUUCUGUAUAUUUUUAUUCUAAUUACAUAAUGAUAUAGUAGAGUGUAGGGACAGUCAUCCCAAUGGUAAUUUUUAAUUGUGGAAGUUCAGAGACUUCUGGGUAGGUUGGAACAGUAGCUGAACCUGCUGCUCUGUUUUUGGUUUUGCUCACACUGAAAUGUAGGAAAGCCUCUUAGUGGGAUGCAUGCAUGCAUGUCUAGGAAUACUGGCACUGCUUGGUUUCACUAAUUUUUUUUUUUUUAAUAGACAAAGUGGAUUUUCUGCCCAACUUAGAAACAUAAAUCUGCCAAGAUGUAUAACAAAGACUAAGUCAUGGACAAAGCAGCCAGAGGAAACUCUGAAACUGUCUGAUAGCACUGGGGUAACAGAACGUCACACUAAGCUGCAACACCUCAUCCGCCAGCAAGCUCCUUUGGACUGUAGCUGCCCUAUAACGUUUCUCACAUAUGCAUGGAACUAUGAAAUUCAGUGUUCCAGCACAACAUUAGUUAGAUUUAGCUUUGGUGCUUGGCUGCUGGUUACUGCUGAAAAAACAGAGGUUUGCUUUGCUAAAGCAUCCAAAAUGAAAUUUGCUUGCUGUUGCUGCACUAAGUUGCCAUCCAGCAUGCACUGAAGAAAAAAAUCCUGGUUAUUUUCCCAUGGCUCCCUUAGCCAUACAAGUGCUAGGUGGGAAUGCACCUUCCUUGUGAAAAUGGACUGUGGAGAACAGAUCAGCUGGAUUCUCAGGUUGUUCUCCUGGGGCCUUGGCAGGCUGGGACUCAGAGCUGCAGGCAGCCUCCCUUCCACUCAACCUCUGCAGGGUGAGCAAAACAGUGCUUCUACCUCCAUGUAGCUCUGUUUUGUAUAUGUCCUCUGUUCACUGCAAACAUAUGAAAGACACAUGUUUUAUUGCAGAUUUUUUUGGCAUGCAGACAAAGUGCAAGGAGAGGGGCUAAUUAGGCUUCAGGGUGGCACCUCCCUCUAGCAUCAUAAAUAAAAGCUAUUUAACAAAAAAUAUAAUAGGAUGCCAGUAAAAAUGCUUGGAAAUAGAAUUACAAUAGCCAAACUUGUAUUUUGUAAGUUGUUUACCAUAAAUGAAAUAAAGUACAAAGGAAAUGGAAAAUGUGGUAACUGUACUGAAUGCCUUUAUAUAGUUUUCAGAUGCCUCUCGGAGUUAUAUUUUAUUUCCUCUCAAUAUGUUUAUAGACUCUGUGUGGAAGGUCAUACUAUUUUUCCCUAGAGUUUUUUUCCUUCUGUCUUGGCUAAACCUUCCUAGAAGAGUUUUGGAACUUGGCAGUGUAAGAAACUUAAGACAGAGAAGCAGACUUCCCUUCCUAGACAUAUGUCAAUUUGAAAAUAUGAAAAAAAAAAGUUGCAGUAAAUAUAAAUCAAACACCAUGUGAUCUGCAGCAAAGUAGAGGGUUUUACCUAUCAAUCAGCUCUGAAGAUCCCAAAUUUAGUGCAACUAUGUUGAAGAUCACCAUCCUAUCUGCAGUCUCUACGUAGCUCUUAUGAUGACUAAUAUACCUUUCUUAUCUAAAACUAUUAGAGAAUGCUUUUUGCAAGUUAGCACUGGCAGUCACAAGUGAGUGGACACCAUCAUUUUUAACUUAGGUAACAUUCCAACAAAGUAACUGUGUCAUAUCCUUGUGUCAAGAAGGCUCUAGAUCUGAGACUUACCAGGCUAAGGUACAAACAAGAACUGGC
Long non-coding RNA from Gallus gallus (chicken), 4066 nucleotides. The record is from Ensembl. Lineage: Eukaryota; Metazoa; Chordata; Aves; Galliformes; Phasianidae.